Molecule: microRNA precursor, 80 nt
Filed under: Strix occidentalis caurina (northern spotted owl)
Lineage: Eukaryota; Metazoa; Chordata; Aves; Strigiformes; Strigidae
Also listed under: 3 other names
Description: mir-27 microRNA precursor family
Rfam family: mir-27 microRNA precursor family
Source: Rfam by way of RNAcentral
CCGUGGGGCAGGGCUUAGCCCACCUGUGAACAGAGUUGGCAGCCGCGUCGUGUUCACAGUGGCUAAGUUCCGCUCCCCGG